AACGAACGCUGGCGGCAUGCCUAACACAUGCAAGUCGAACGAGACCUUCGGGGCUAGUGGCGCACGGGUGCGUAACGCGUGGGAACCUGCACUUAGGUUCGGAAUAACUCCCCGAAAGGGGUGCUAAUACCGGAUAAUGUCUUCGGACCAAAGAUUUAUCGCCUUUGGAUGGGCCCGCGUUGGAUUAGCUAGUUGGUAGGGUAAAAGCCUACCAAGGCGACGAUCCAUAGCUGGUCUGAGAGGAUGAGCAGCCACACUGGGACUGAGACACGGCCCAGACUCCUACGGGAGGCAGCAGUGGGGAAUAUUGGACUAUGGGCGAAAGCCUGAUCCAGCAAUGCCGCGUGAGUGAUGAAGUCCUUAGGGUUGUAAAGCUCUUUUACCCGGGAUGAUAAUGACAGUACCGGGAGAAUAAGCUCCGGCUAACUCCGUG
This 433-nucleotide ribosomal RNA is filed under the name uncultured bacterium. RNAcentral's name for it is "partial 16S ribosomal RNA". It matches the Rfam family "Bacterial small subunit ribosomal RNA", at positions 29 to 507 of the family's 1533-position model. The record is from RNAcentral.